UUUAGGCUGCCUUGGGACGUUCUCCCACCUCCUUGGCCGUAACCCCUUGCUCCUAUAUAAGUAGAUCCAUCUAGUAGCUUUUUGCUUGGGAUUUGUUUAGUUAAAAGUUAGCCAUUGCAACUUCGUGUACUUCUUUUGUGUCCAACGACCAGACCAAGACCGCUUGCGGAUCCCCACCUUUAUCAAUACUUCAUAUAUACUCGCAAUAUUCAGAUUGCUUUUAUCAUAUUCCUGCUUGUUCUUCGAUUGCUUGGGAGCUUGAAGUAGAACAAGUUUUUAGUCACCAUGCCUUUUCUGAACUUGAUCGAGUACGAGCUGCCACUAGAGCAUUUACUGGUUUUGCUUCUGUUUGGUGGAGUGUGCAUUGUAAGAAAAACAUUGAUAACCAACCCACAACUUGGAAAGAUUUGAAAGAUGUAAUGAGAAAACAGUUUUUCCCUCCUUACUAUCGUCGUGAAUUGCUUCGCAAAUUUGAACAAUUUAAACAAGGCAACAACACUGUUCAUGCUUACUACCAAGAGUUUAAAUCUUAUAUGCAUCAUUGUGACAUAGAAGAAUCUGAGGAUGAUACAGUGAAUAGAUUUUUUGGUGGUUUGAACCAUGAUAUCCGUGCAAGAUUUCACUAUAUUCCUCGUUGCAUUACUGGUAUGUAUGUUCGUGCUUGUACCUUUGAGAGACAGAUAUAGGAGGAUGCAUUGGGUGGCUACAACAACUACUAUUCCAGUUCAUGCUCACCACCGCCGGUUGGUUCCUCCACCGUUGCACCUACUAGAGCAGCCCCACCUCGGACUGUGAGCGCGACAUCAUCUCAAGAGUAUGAUGCAUUGCCAACGUCCGUACCUACAUCAGCUAUGUCUUUGCGACAAGGUAAUAGUAAAGGUAUUGAUGAUAUAACUUCACAUGAGAAUGAUGCAUCCCUAGUUAACUUGAAUGCAUCAUGUGUUGAGUUACCUGGUGAUUUGAGCACAUCACCUAUUUUAGAGAAUCUUGAUACUGUCAUGAAUGCGUCAUGUGAUCAAACAACUGAAAUACCAACAAUUUUGAGUGCACCCAUUGAAUUAACUGUUGAUGCAAAACAAUCAAUGUUUAAUCAUUUUGAUAUGACCUCUAAUCUUGGUGAUGAUUCUGUGUCGAAUGACUUAUUGCAUGUUUGCUUAUUUAAGCAUGUUGUAGCAUGUAAAUUUGAUGCAAGUAAGGUUUAUUCACCAUUGUUGGGAUGGUUUAAUGAUGAACAUUGUCAAUCUUUUGAAAUGAAUAAGAGCUUCACUUAUAUGUGCAAACUGAUUUGCAAUAUUUUCAUGCCUUCUACUUCUUGUGAUAAUAUUUUGGCUUUAUAUUUUAUGAACUAUGAAAGUUACUCGUGCAUACAUGUGUCAUAUGUGCAAAAACAAAGGGAAGUAAAAAUGGAUGACAUAUUCAUAUACAACAUGUACACAUUGUCUCUUUUGUUAGCCACAUUUCAGAUUAAGCAACGCCGAGGACGUCUUUGUUUUCAAGAAGGGGAGGAUGAUGAGGACAUGACUACCUUGGAUAUAACCAAAAAUAUUGCAUACAUGCAUAUUUGUCACGUGAUUUCUAGUGCAAACUAUUCAAUAAUCUAUUUAUGUUAUCCAGAACAAAAAUACUUCACACACUUUUGUGUUUUGUCUAAUUGAAGGUGUAUGGGACAUUUGUAUAAUCCACAUAUGAAGAUAAGGGAAAAAGAGAAGUUUAGGUUCUAUUCAAAAAGUCCUCUCACGUCACUUUUGGGCCAAGAGAAGAUAGAGUCCAAGUCUCUCAUGUUCUGGAUUCAGAUUCGGACUGUACAGACAUACCUGACUCAAAACGCCAACAACUUUUUCAUACGGACUCCGAAUUGGGUGAUUCAUUUUUUUGGAAAGUAGAUUUCGUGCUCUUUUCAGCCCAAUUGGACUCACCUUAAAAUACGUUCGGAGCGUUGAGAUAUCAACGAAACAAUCGGACGCUAAAGCAGAAUCCAAGUCAAACAACAAGUCCAAAGGUGUUGUAUCACCUCCACUUGGGCCCAUGAGCCUUGUACGACCUAGGGUUGAUUUUAGGCUGCCUUGAGACGUUCUCCCACCUCCUUGGCCGUCACCCCUUGCUCCUAUAUAAGUAGAUCCAUCUAGUAGCUUUUUGCUUGGGAUUUGUUUAGUUAAAAGUUAGCCAUUGCAACUUCGUGUACUUCAUUGUGUCCGACGACCAGACCAAGACCGCUUACGGAUCCCCACCUUUAUCAAUACUUCAUAUAUACUCGCAAUAUUCAGA
RNAcentral lists this long non-coding RNA (2265 nucleotides) under Triticum aestivum (bread wheat). Its description in RNAcentral is "long non-coding RNA (TAES_LNC027371)". Lineage: Eukaryota; Viridiplantae; Streptophyta; Magnoliopsida; Poales; Poaceae. The record is from RNAcentral.